RNAcentral lists this ribosomal RNA (1344 nucleotides) under Salmonella enterica subsp. enterica serovar Agona str. ATCC 51957. Its description in RNAcentral is "bacterial LSU rRNA". It matches the Rfam family "Bacterial large subunit ribosomal RNA", at positions 1 to 1382 of the family's 2925-position model. Lineage: Bacteria; Pseudomonadati; Pseudomonadota; Gammaproteobacteria; Enterobacterales; Enterobacteriaceae. The record is from RNAcentral.
GGUUAAGCGACUAAGCGUACACGGUGGAUGCCCUGGCAGUCAGAGGCGAUGAAGGGCGUGCUAAUCUGCGAUAAGCGCCGGUAAGGUGAUAUGAACCGUUAUAACCGGCGAUACCCGAAUGGGGAAACCCAGUGUGACUCGUCACACUAUCAUUAACUGAAUCCAUAGGUUAAUGAGGCGAACCGGGGGAACUGAAACAUCUAAGUACCCCGAGGAAAAGAAAUCAACCGAGAUUCCCCCAGUAGCGGCGAGCGAACGGGGAGGAGCCCAGAGCCUGAAUCAGCAUGUGUGUUAGUGGAAGCGUCUGGAAAGACGCGCGAUACAGGGUGACAGCCCCGUACACAAAAGCGUAUGUGCUGUGAGCUCGAUGAGUAGGGCGGGACACGUGGUAUCCUGUCUGAAUAUGGGGGGACCAUCCUCCAAGGCUAAAUACUCCUGACUGACCGAUAGUGAACCAGUACCGUGAGGGAAAGGCGAAAAGAACCCCGGCGAGGGGAGUGAAAAAGAACCUGAAACCGUGUACGUACAAGCAGUGGGAGCACAGGUUUACCUGUGUGACUGCGUACCUUUUGUAUAAUGGGUCAGCGACUUAUAUUCUGUAGCAAGGUUAACCGAAUAGGGGAGCCGGAGGGAAACCGAGUCUUAAUUGGGCGUUAAGUUGCAGGGUAUAGACCCGAAACCCGGUGAUCUAGCCAUGGGCAGGUUGAAGGUUGGGUAACACUAACUGGAGGACCGAACCGACUAAUGUUGAAAAAUUAGCGGAUGACCUGUGGCUGGGGGUGAAAGGCCAAUCAAACCGGGAGAUAGCUGGUUCUCCCCGAAAGCUAUUUAGGUAGCGCCUCGUGAAUUCAUCUCCGGGGGUAGAGCACUGUUUCGGCUAGGGGGUCAUCCCGACUUACCAACCCGAUGCAAACUGCGAAUACCGGAGAAUGUUAUCACGGGAGACACACGGCGGGUGCUAACGUCCGUCGUGAAGAGGGAAACAACCCAGACCGCCAGCUAAGGUCCCAAAGUCAUGGUUAAGUGGGAAACGAUGUGGGAAGGCCCAGACAGCCAGGAUGUUGGCUUAGAAGCAGCCAUCAUUUAAAGAAAGCGUAAUAGCUCACUGGUCGAGUCGGCCUGCGCGGAAGAUGUAACGGGGCUAAACCAUGCACCGAAGCUGCGGCAGCGACACUCAGGUGUUGUUGGGUAGGGGAGCGUUCUGUAAGCCUGCGAAGGUGGCCUGUGAGGGUUGCUGGAGGUAUCAGAAGUGCGAAUGCUGACAUAAGUAACGAUAAAGCGGGUGAAAAGCCCGCUCGCCGGAAGACCAAGGGUUCCUGUCCAACGUUAAUCGGGGCAGGGUGA